AAGAUUUAUUUUAUACCACCAUCAUCUUCAAAAGUAAAAAUAUAAUUUCACAUGUUUUUCUGCUCAUUCCCACCCGGCCAGUGGAUUUUAAGCGGUAGAAAAAAGAAGGCUCCUAUCCCAUAUUCUGAAACCCCUAAUUUUUCUCAAACUCUUAACCAAAGAAAGAAAUAAAAUUAUCUCGCCGUCUAUUUCCCUAUCCCAACCCCCAUUUCUAUAUAUCCAAACGGCACCUCAGAUCCAACACCACCUCAGAUCCGACCUGAAAGAAGACCCAAGCAAAAUCCCAAAGAACAAUCGAAAGAUAACCAGCGAUCCAAGAAUCUGUAGACAAGAGCCACUCCAAAUCUUCCCGCAACUCUAUUGGGCGCAAGCCGCUGCCCAGGGAACUCACCGCGAAAUUCCUUGUCACGGGAUCUGAGCAGGUAGAUUUCAUUUUAUUUUCUGCGUGGAGUGAUUGGGUUGCAAAAAUUACCCCAUCUGGUGGAGUUAAGUUUUUUGCGUCCGCAUCCUUGUCUUCCUCGGCGGCGACAGUGGUCGGCGCUGUCGCUGGUCGCGGCGUACAGUCGAACGGGCGGCGGGCGAGCGGCCAGCUCGCCUCUGUACGAACUGACGGACUGUUAAGAGAGAAAAGUACUGCAAUUUCGAAGUACUUAGCCUUGCCUCAUUACUGUAGCAGUCAAAAGGACUUUGCUGGAGGGGGCUGUACAGUAGCGCACAGAGAUGCCGACCGGUUUUGAGAACUCUGCUGGAGUUGGCCUUACUGCUUAUUUGGCUGUGAACUACCUUGGUCGUUUUCCUUUCACAGUACGAGCUGUCGGAAGGCAACUGUUGCCGCCGAGAUGGAGGAAACUGCUGUCCCACAAUCUCUGGACCUUCAGGUUGGAGAAGCACGGUACGUGUUUGUGGCGACGACGAUCCAGCGAAUAGAACUUCUUGUUCUAAGAGCAUCUCCAACCAAGCCCUCUUCUCACCCCUAUCCUAUAUUUGAGGAAAAAACGAUGAAAAUUGAUCUCCAAUCGACCCCCUAUCCGACUUCCUUUAUUUGAGGAGCCCUCAAAUCUUCUCCCUCACCUCCUAUAUUUAGGGGCUUCUCAUCCAACUCCUCAUUUGAGAGAGAGAGGAAGAGAGGGGAGAGAGAGGUACCGGAUAUUAAUAAAAUAGAGGUGAUUCGAAUAUAGAGGGUCAAAUAUGAGGGAUCGGUUGGAACAUGUUGAGAAAUAGGGGAUAAAAUCUAGAUAAGAAGCCCCUAAAUAAGAGAAAUAGGAGAUCAAAUAUGAGGACUUAGUUGGAGAUGCUCUAAGCACCCUCAAUUGGAGGAUGCAGGCUGUGACCCCCCUUUCUCCUACCUGGAUUACUUCCUACACUAGCUCAACGCCGGCAAUGCUGCGCCAAGAAGCUGUCUCUUUCAAUCGGCGGAGCUCAUCUUGUUUAGCCAGAUGUGUGCAAGCAUGAUUUUGUCAUCGCGAUUAGUGUGGAUCACACGAUUUCGUACACUUGGACCAAUCUGAUUGGUAUCUGUUGUUACACGGCAGGAACUGGCUGCAUAGGAUUUAGACCAUCUGAGAUCGCCGCCGCAGUGGCAGCCGAUUGGAUCCAGUAUGUAAUGAUAUAAUUAACUUAUUUAAGUAUCUACGAUCGUUGUAAUCGAUAUAUUUAAGUACCUAUGAAUGAUAUAAUAUUUGUAAUUAAUUUGUCACUUACAUUCUAUUAUAAUAAUCUUCAGGAAAAACAAUAUUUUCCUACGUUGAAAGCA
Molecule: long non-coding RNA, 1753 nt
Organism: Phragmites australis (common reed)
Lineage: Eukaryota; Viridiplantae; Streptophyta; Magnoliopsida; Poales; Poaceae
Exons: 5
Source: RefSeq, a predicted model, not a curated record